AUACGGAGGGUGCAAGCGUUACUCGGAAUCACUGGGCGUAAAGCGCGCGCAGGCGGUCUUUUAAGUUGGAUGUGAAAGCCUACAGCUCAACUGUAGAACUGCAUCCAAAACUAUUAGACUAGAGUCUGGGAGGGGAAGAUGGAAUUAGUUGUGUAGGGGUAAAAUCCGUAGAGAUAACUAGGAAUACCAAAAGCGAAGGCGAUCUUCUGGAACAGUACUGACGCUGAGGCGCGAAAGCGUGGGGAGCAAACAGGAUUAGGUACCCUAGUAGUCC
Molecule: ribosomal RNA, 274 nt
Filed under: uncultured bacterium
Lineage: Bacteria
Description: partial 16S ribosomal RNA
Rfam family: Bacterial small subunit ribosomal RNA
Source: RNAcentral